Molecule: long non-coding RNA, 224 nt
Filed under: Elaeis guineensis (African oil palm)
Lineage: Eukaryota; Viridiplantae; Streptophyta; Magnoliopsida; Arecales; Arecaceae
Description: long non-coding RNA (EGUI_LNC061613)
Source: RNAcentral
CUAAGGUAGAGAUUGUGAGCUCAGAUGUGGUGCUUCCAAGCCUUGGGAAUAAAUGAAGAAAGGCCAAGGGGUGAAGGAAGCAUCAGAAGCAUCAAUCAGUAGUCAAGCUGGCUCGAGCUCUGAGAGAGCUGGCUCAGACAGUAGAUAGAGAGCUAUAUUUUUGGCACCAAUGGAUGACACAGCUACCGAACUAGCUUGACUGUAGGUUGAGCUAGCUUGGAUCC